GUUCUCUGGCACCCAGAGUUCCAGUUUCAGGUUCUCUGAGGCCAAAUGAUAAUAUAGCAGAGUGAACAUUAGUGGAGCACCGACUUGGAGUUACAUAUUUUGUGCCCUCCUAGGGUCCAACUUGUAUACCCACAUGAAUGGGGCAGGCCACCAUGUUGUAAAGAUGUCCAUAAUAAAAAGACUCCGUAUAGAUGCCAUGCCAUACCAGCUGUCCAUGAACCCAGGCCCCAGUGAACCAACCAGCUGCACGAAUGAGCCCUGGCAAAACCAGUGGAACACCUAACCAGCCCAAAUAAUUGUGAGAAAUAAUAAAUUGCUAUUGUUUUAAAU
Long non-coding RNA from Canis lupus familiaris (dog), 330 nucleotides. RefSeq lists it as uncharacterized. The record is from RefSeq and is a predicted model, not a curated record. Lineage: Eukaryota; Metazoa; Chordata; Mammalia; Carnivora; Canidae. The transcript is spliced from 3 exons.